RNAcentral lists this unclassified non-coding RNA (385 nucleotides) under fungal sp. RNAcentral describes it as "partial internal transcribed spacer region". The stretch from base 1 to 46 matches the Rfam family "Eukaryotic small subunit ribosomal RNA", at positions 1786 to 1831 of the family's 1831-position model. The record is from RNAcentral. Lineage: Eukaryota; Fungi.
AAGUCGUAACAAGGUUUCCGUAGGUGAACCUGCGGAAGGAUCAUUAACACGUAUCCAACGUUAAACCCCCCUGUGAACUAUUGCCGUGCUCUCGUAGACCUUGAUGAACAGCAAUCCCUGGUAAAUCAUUGACGAACAGCGUUUGAUUGAGGGAAUGUUGCGCUAGGAUCAGAGGCUUGGCUCUCCCCAAGCAGUUCGUGGGUGCAAGUGCCACUUUCUGUGCAAGGAACACGCUUUACGGUCACUGGAGGUCGAUCACCGACCGGUGGACAAGUCUCAGGGCCAAAAGCCCCCUAAUCACCCCACAGUUUCUUACGAGCUAGCGAUUAAAUCCGCUGGUAAAAAAACCCCCGAACAACUGUUAACAAUGGAUAUCUUGGUUCUC